AUCUAGUUGACGAGUCCCAAGAAGGACGAACGCGCGUCCUGGAU
Molecule: non-coding RNA, 44 nt
Filed under: Schistosoma mansoni
Lineage: Eukaryota; Metazoa; Platyhelminthes; Trematoda; Strigeidida; Schistosomatidae
Source: RNAcentral